Molecule: long non-coding RNA, 864 nt
Filed under: Androctonus crassicauda
Lineage: Eukaryota; Metazoa; Arthropoda; Arachnida; Scorpiones; Buthidae
Source: RNAcentral
CACUUGUAUGUAUAUGCAAGUGUGUGAGGAUUUAAGCAUGCUGUAUCUACCUGUGGAGUCUCUGCCAUCUUGAUUACGUCGUCAUUUUUGCUUUUAUGUUCUUCGAUAAAUUUUAGUUAAUAUGAUGAUUGAAAAUUUUGAUUAAUGAAGAAGAUUAAUGUAUUGUACGAAGAAAGAGAGGAAUUAAUUAUUUGGAAUAAUAUUUCUUUAUUUUUUUAUUAUUAUAUUAUGCUAAUCAAGUCACUUAUAAAUAGUCACCGUGGGAUGGCAUGGAGAGUCUUCUCUUGUUUGUUGUUAGAUAUUGUGGCCAGGUGUCGUCGAAGGAUUGUGUUGUACGUUUCAUCUGUUGUCUGGUGGUUGGUCUACGUGGACUUUGUCAUUUUGUGGGAAAGUGUUUACUUAUAGUAGUGACUUUUAAGAAAAAGGCCUGGUUUACAAAUAGAGAGAAAGAGAGAAGAAUAGUGUAUUUAAUUAUAGUUCUUAUUAAUUAAUUACUAAUUGUAAAAUUAUAUUGUGUUGAAUAAACCGAAGUAUUUGAUUCAAUGAAAUAUUUUAUUGAGAUUAUCAACACGACCCUGCAGUCUAUGGAUUCUCGUGAGUUUAGUGUCCAGGUAAAUUUCCGUACAACAAGAAAGGCAGAGUUUGAGGGGGCAUGGAGCUUCAACUUUCGCAAAGCUAGUGACUUUGCAAGUAACAACUUUGAAUUGGAAAAUUUUUAGUAAUGAUUUUUGGCUGUCAUAAGUGCGAAUUAUCGUAAGUCGAGAACUAUAUAAAAUUAGACCUACCCUAAAUUACCUAUAAUUCUUAUGAAAAAAAUGCAUAAUUUUAUUUCAAAAAACAAAUAUAAUCAAAAAGAUAAAUGAC